UUGCUAGUAAUCGCAGAUCAGCAUGCUGCGGUGAAUACGUUCCCGGGCCUUGUACACACCGCCCGUCACACCAUGGGAGUCGGUAACACCCAAAGUUGGUAGCCUAACCGCAAGGAGGGCGCCGCCUAAGGUGGGAUUGAUGACUGGGGUGAAGUCGUAACAAGGUAUC
RNAcentral lists this ribosomal RNA (169 nucleotides) under uncultured bacterium. Its description in RNAcentral is "partial 16S ribosomal RNA". It matches the Rfam family "Bacterial small subunit ribosomal RNA", at positions 1332 to 1500 of the family's 1533-position model. The record is from RNAcentral.